GCACCUAUGGCUCAGUGGUUAGCGCGUGGAGCUGUUAAUUCUAAGCAGGUCACUCCAAGGUCCCUGGUUCGAAACCAGGUAGGUGCG
Jaminaea rosea is the source of this 87-nucleotide non-coding RNA. NCBI's taxonomy places the organism in Eukaryota, Fungi, Basidiomycota, Exobasidiomycetes, Microstromatales. The record is from the annotation of a RefSeq genome assembly.